RNAcentral lists this unclassified non-coding RNA (253 nucleotides) under uncultured Rickettsiales bacterium. RNAcentral describes it as "contains 16S-23S intergenic spacer region". It matches the Rfam family "Bacterial small subunit ribosomal RNA", at positions 524 to 776 of the family's 1533-position model. The record is from RNAcentral. Lineage: Bacteria; Pseudomonadati; Pseudomonadota; Alphaproteobacteria; Rickettsiales.
UACGAAGGGGGCUAGCGUUGUUCGGAUUUACUGGGCGUAAAGGGCACGCAGGCGGCUUAUCAAGUUGGGGGUGAAAUCCCGGGGCUUAACCCCGGAACUGCCUCCAAAACUGGUAAGCUAGAGAUCGAGAGAGGUGAGUGGAAUUCCUAGUGUAGAGGUGAAAUUCGUAGAUAUUAGGAGGAACACCAGUGGCGAAGGCGGCUCACUGGCUCGAUACUGACGCUCAUGUGCGAAAGCGUGGGGAGCAAACAGG